RNAcentral lists this ribosomal RNA (429 nucleotides) under bacterium. Its description in RNAcentral is "partial 16S ribosomal RNA". It matches the Rfam family "Bacterial small subunit ribosomal RNA", at positions 355 to 776 of the family's 1533-position model. The record is from RNAcentral.
UAGGGAAUCUUCGGCAAUGGGGGCAACCCUGACCGAGCAACGCCGCGUGAGUGAAGAAGGUUUUCGGAUCGUAAAGCUCUGUUGUAAGAGAAAAACAUGUGUGAGAGUGGAAAGUUCACACAGUGACGGUAACUUACCAGAAAGGGACGGCUAACUACGUGCCAGCAGCCGCGGUAAUACGUAGGUCCCGAGCGUUGUCCGGAUUUAUUGGGCGUAAAGCGAGCGCAGGCGGUUUAAUAAGUCUGAAGUUAAAGGCAGUGGCUUAACCAUUGUUCGCUUUGGAAACUGUUAAACUUGAGUGCAGAAGGGGAGAGUGGAAUUCCAUGUGUAGCGGUGAAAUGCGUAGAUAUAUGGAGGAACACCGGUGGCGAAAGCGUCUCUCUGGUCUGUAACUGACGCUGAGGCUCGAAAGCGUGGGGAGCAAACAGG